GCGGGCGUAGCCGAACUGGUAUAGGCGCCAGACUUAGGAUCUGGUCGGCGCAAGCCGGUGGGGGUUCGAGUCCCUCCGCCCGCACCA
RNAcentral lists this transfer RNA (87 nucleotides) under bacterium. Its description in RNAcentral is "tRNA-Leu". It matches the Rfam family "tRNA". Rfam says of the family: Transfer RNA (tRNA) molecules are approximately 80 nucleotides in length. Their secondary structure includes four short double-helical elements and three loops (D, anti-codon, and T loops). RNAcentral also lists the same sequence under 3 other names. The record is from RNAcentral.